AAUGGGGGCAACCCUGAUCCAGCCAUUCCGCGUGAGUGAAGAAGGCCUUCGGGUUGUAAAGCUCUUUCGGCCGGGAAGAAAUCGCAUCUCCUAAUACGGGGUGUGGAUGACGGUACCGGAAGAAGAAGCACCGGCUAACUACGUGCCAGCAGCCGCGGUAAUACGUAGGGUGCGAGCGUUAAUCGGAAUUACUGGGCGUAAAGCGUGCGCAGGCGGUUUUGUAAGACAGGCGUGAAAUCCCCGGGCUCAACCUGGGAACUGCGUUUGUGACUGCAAGGCUAGAGUAUGGCAGAGGGGGGUGGAAUUCCACGUGUAGCAGUGAAAUGCGUAGAGAUGUGGAGGAACACCGAUGGCGAAGGCAGCCCCCUGGGCCAAUACUGACGCUCAUGCACGAAAGCGUGGGUAGCAAA
RNAcentral lists this ribosomal RNA (410 nucleotides) under uncultured bacterium. RNAcentral's name for it is "bacterial SSU rRNA". It matches the Rfam family "Bacterial small subunit ribosomal RNA", at positions 370 to 772 of the family's 1533-position model. The record is from RNAcentral.